AGAGUUUGAUCAUGGCUCAGGAUGAACGCUGGCGGCGUGCUUAACACAUGCAAGUCGAACGGAGUUAAUAAGUGGAAGUUUUCGGAUGGAAGCUUAUUAACUUAGUGGCGGACGGGUGAGUAACGCGUGGGUAACCUGCCUUACACAGGGGGAUAACAGCCGGAAACGGUUGCUAAUACCGCAUAAGCGCACAGUGUCGCAUGACACAGUGUGAAAAGAUUUAUCGGUGUAAGAUGGACCCGCGUCUGAUUAGCUGGUUGGUGAGGUAAAAGCUCACCAAGGCGACGAUCAGUAGCCGGCUUGAGAGAGUGACCGGCCACAUUGGGACUGAGACACGGCCCAAACUCCUACGGGAGGCAGCAGUGGGGAAUAUUGCACAAUGGGGGAAACCCUGAUGCAGCGACGCCGCGUGAGUGAAGAAGUAUUUCGGUAUGUAAAGCUCUAUCAGCAGGGACGAUAAUGACGGUACCUGACUAAGAAGCCCCGGCUAACUACGUGCCAGCAGCCGCGGUAAUACGUAGGGGGCAAGCGUUAUCCGGAUUUACUGGGUGUAAAGGGAGCGUAGACGGUGUGGUAAGUCAGGUGUGAAAGCCCGGGGCUCAACCCCGGGAUUGCACUUGAAACUAUCAAACUAGAGUGCAGGAGAGGUAAGUGGAAUUCCUAGUGUAGCGGUGAAAUGCGUAGAUAUUAGGAGGAACACCAGUGGCGAAGGCGGCUUACUGGACUGUAACUGACGUUGAGGCUCGAAAGCGUGGGGGAGCAAACAGGA
RNAcentral lists this ribosomal RNA (769 nucleotides) under uncultured bacterium. Its description in RNAcentral is "bacterial SSU rRNA". It matches the Rfam family "Bacterial small subunit ribosomal RNA", at positions 8 to 777 of the family's 1533-position model. The record is from RNAcentral.